This 908-nucleotide ribosomal RNA is filed under the name Coniothyrium pyrinum. RNAcentral describes it as "LSU rRNA". It matches the Rfam family "Eukaryotic large subunit ribosomal RNA", at positions 38 to 964 of the family's 3401-position model. Lineage: Eukaryota; Fungi; Ascomycota; Dothideomycetes; Pleosporales; Coniothyriaceae. The record is from RNAcentral.
GCAUAUCAAUAAGCGGAGGAAAAGAAACCAACAGGGAUUGCCCUAGUAACGGCGAGUGAAGCGGCAACAGCUCAAAUUUGAAAUCUGGCGUCUUUGGCGUCCGAGUUGUAAUUUGCAGAGGGCGCUUUGGCAUUGGCAGCGGUCCAAGUUCCUUGGAACAGGACGUCACAGAGGGUGAGAAUCCCGUACGUGGUCGCUAGCCUUUACCGUGUAAAGCCCCUUCGACGAGUCGAGUUGUUUGGGAAUGCAGCUCUAAAUGGGAGGUAAAUUUCUUCUAAAGCUAAAUACUGGCCAGAGACCGAUAGCGCACAAGUAGAGUGAUCGAAAGAUGAAAAGCACUUUGGAAAGAGAGUUAAAAAGCACGUGAAAUUGUUGAAAGGGAAGCGCUUGCAGCCAGACUUGCCUGUAGUUGCUCAUCCGGGUUUUUACCCGGUGCACUCUUCUAUAGGCAGGCCAGCAUCAGUUUGGGCGGUUGGAUAAAGGUCUCUGUCAUGUACCUCUCUUCGGGGAGAACUUAUAGGGGAGACGACAUGCAACCAGCCUGGACUGAGGUCCGCGCAUCUGCUAGGAUGCUGGCGUAAUGGCUGUAAGCGGCCCGUCUUGAAACACGGACCAAGGAGUCUAACAUCUAUGCGAGUGUUUGGGUGUCAAGCCCGAACGCGUAAUGAAAGUGAACGGAGGUGGGAACCCCUCGGGGUGCACCAUCGACCGAUCCUGAUGUCUUCGGAUGGAUUUGAGUAAGAGCAUAGCUGUUGGGACCCGAAAGAUGGUGAACUAUGCUUGAAUAGGGUGAAGCCAGAGGAAACUCUGGUGGAGGCUCGCAGCGGUUCUGACGUGCAAAUCGAUCGUCAAAUUUGGGCAUAGGGGCGAAAGACUAAUCGAACUAUCUAGUAGCUGGUUCCUGCCGA